Non-coding RNA from Stegodyphus mimosarum, 73 nucleotides. The record is from Rfam. NCBI's taxonomy places the organism in Eukaryota, Metazoa, Arthropoda, Arachnida, Araneae, Eresidae.
GCCUUCGUGGUGUAGUGGUCAACACGCUCAACGCGUAUUUAAGAGGUCCGUGGUUCGAGUCCCGGCGAGGGCA